Long non-coding RNA from Gasterosteus aculeatus aculeatus (three-spined stickleback), 728 nucleotides. NCBI's taxonomy places the organism in Eukaryota, Metazoa, Chordata, Actinopteri, Perciformes, Gasterosteidae. The record is from Ensembl.
AAGGCAACGCGGAGCCGCGUGUGCGUCGCUGGAGGAGCGAUGUGACAGUCUUCGUAGUUGUGGAUGCAAGGAGGACUAAACCCAACGUGCAGUAGUUUGUCAAGCAUCUAGUAUCUAGUAGAAACUGAAAACCGGGUUUGUUUUUAAUACGGCCGCGAAAUAUUCUUCUGUGUCUAAUUGAGGGAGUUUUUGUUCUUACCAAAAUCAUGUUCACAACCUACGUAAAGAAUCUGAAUGAUAUGGUAUUUUCUACGUCUGAGAGCCCCGAGGAGCAGCAGAGCACUGGAGUCUUGGGCCGAAUCGGGAGCUGGCUCUCUCCAUGGAGGGGAAAGGCUCCAACUAGUCCCACUGAAAAUGCCUCUGCGAGUAGCGGUCAGGCUCUUAAGUCAGAGGAGGAAAAGGAGAGUGAGGAAUCUGUGAGACUCUGUGGGACAGGGACACGAGAGUCGGAGCAGGAGGAGGAGGGCCGACUAUCCAAUCGCAAUCCACUCCGUCCCUCCGGAGACAUUUUCCCUUGUGAAGAGGUGGACGCCACUCGGUCUGCCCACAGAGACGGCUCUGUUGCGAGCAGCGCUGAGAAAGCGGAUCCAAAGAAGGAGGAGCUGGUGGAGUGCAGGACAAAGAGAGUCGUGCAAGGCAAGCAGAGGGAGGAGAGCGGCACCGGCACAUUAGCCGGCGGGACAGACGCCCGUCAGGUGACACAUCAGUCCUCCUCCGCAGAGCAGGGC